Molecule: non-coding RNA, 29 nt
Filed under: Mus musculus (house mouse)
Lineage: Eukaryota; Metazoa; Chordata; Mammalia; Rodentia; Muridae
Source: RNAcentral
UCCUGAGAAGUUUUACAUCCACACAGGUC